CCUACGGGUGGCAGCAGUGAGGAAUAUUGGUCAAUGGGCGGGAGCCUGAACCAGCCAAGCCGCGUGAAGGAAGAAGGCGCCAGGCGUCGUAAACUUCUUUUGUCGGGGAACAAAGGGCGCCACGUGUGGCGUUGUGAGUGUACCCGAAGAAAAAGCAUCGGCUAACUCCGUGCCAGCAGCCGCGGUAAUACGGAGGAUGCGAGCGUUAUCCGGAUUUAUUGGGUUUAAAGGGUGCGUAGGCGGGCUUUUAAGUCAGCGGUAAAAAUUCGGGGCUCAACCCCGUCCGGCCGUUGAAACUGGGGGCCUUGAGUGGGCGAGAAGAAGGCGGAAUGCGUGGUGUAGCGGUGAAAUGCAUAGAUAUCACGCAGAACCCCGAUUGCGAAGGCAGCCUUCCGGCGCCCUACUGACGCUGAGGCACGAAAGUGCGGGGAUCGAACAGGAUUAGAUACCCGGGUAGUC
This 459-nucleotide ribosomal RNA is filed under the name uncultured bacterium. RNAcentral's name for it is "partial 16S ribosomal RNA". It matches the Rfam family "Bacterial small subunit ribosomal RNA", at positions 338 to 795 of the family's 1533-position model. The record is from RNAcentral.